RNAcentral lists this transfer RNA (85 nucleotides) under Candidatus Pelagisphaera sp. RNAcentral describes it as "tRNA-Leu". It matches the Rfam family "tRNA". Rfam says of the family: Transfer RNA (tRNA) molecules are approximately 80 nucleotides in length. Their secondary structure includes four short double-helical elements and three loops (D, anti-codon, and T loops). The record is from RNAcentral. Lineage: Bacteria; Pseudomonadati; Verrucomicrobiota; Opitutia; Puniceicoccales.
GCCCAGGUGGCGGAAUUGGUAGACGCGCCUGACUCAAAAUCAGGUUUCUUCGGAAGUGGGGGUUCGAUUCCCCCCCUGGGUACCA